RNAcentral lists this long non-coding RNA (1527 nucleotides) under Oryctolagus cuniculus (rabbit). RNAcentral's name for it is "lncRNA (ENSOCUG00000036845.1)". The record is from RNAcentral. Lineage: Eukaryota; Metazoa; Chordata; Mammalia; Lagomorpha; Leporidae.
AGGCCGACCUCAGGGUUCCGAUUCUGUCUCUGCCCUGGGAGCCCAGUGUGGCUACAGCCCUCCCUCUCUAGCAGAGGGGCCGGCGUUCCUCUGGGGACUUAAGGAAUACGGGCUGCAGGAGCCUCCAUACACGGGAAGCCGUAUCAUUGAAAGUCAAGCGGAGUCCGUGUGUAUUUUACGUACUCGCGCACUCACUGUCUGCGACUGCCCGAGCUCGGGCUGCCCCUAGAAAACAUCACAGAAAUGCAAGUGCUGUUUGCAUGCUGCUGUUUGACCCUGGAGCUCUGUGGGACAUGUGAACAGUGCCUCUACGCUGGGAUGGCAGCUGGGUUGAGGGGGCCGUCCCAGGCCUCUCUACUGCUCUUUCUGGAGGAAUCCGUGGCUUCUGAUUGGGAGACAUGGGCAGAGCGCACCUGUCACCUUGGCUAUGAGCAGAGCGGCAGCCCCACCACGCUCGGGUGGGGUGGGAAGGGGGCUGGGCUUGGCUCAAACGCCACAGGAUUUUGCUGUCACUGUGAUUUGCCAAAUUUCUGGAAUAAAUUAUUUUUUUAAUUUCCUGAAUCUUCAGACAACUUCUAGUGACUUAAUUUGCCAUCAUUGUGCCUUUACGGUUUAAAGCGCCACUCCCCAUAAUUGCUGUGCUGCUGCCUGGGGUCCGCGUAGCUCCCAACACCAUGAAUCCAGCAGCUCUGCCCCUCGUCACCACUUCCCGAUUCUGCACCACUGCGUUUCGACUUUGCCUCUUCAUUUCUCUCGGUGGAAAGCCGUGUCUGCCGGGUGAGAGGCCAGUCUGUGGGACUGGAACCCUGCCCGCCUUCACCCGCAUCCUGGCCUCUUGCGAUUGCCCAGCAUUGCCAGAGGAUGUCCUGGCUUUUGCACCGUCCGUUUAUAACUGGCCCAAACCCUUCUCUAACUACACCAUGGCACCUCGUGUGGACGCGCAUUCACAGUUCCACCCUACUCCCGUUUAUUACACCACUGUCUUAUGUGUCCCUGGUUGGUAAGCUGCAAUGACCGACCAUGUUGCUGAGAUUCUUGUUUGAUCCACGGAAGUGAGAAGAAAGAAGAAGAUAGUUCAGCCUCACUGCUCUUUUCUCAGCACUGCCCUUCCUCCAUGGAGAUCCGAGGUCCUGGCGAGCUCAUCUGCCUUCUUGCUGAAGAUCGUCCAGAACACUUGCUGCGGGCAGGUCGACCGCUGACAAAUGUCUUCCAUUUUUGUUUGUCUGUCAAACUCUUAAUUAAUACCUUCCUGAUAGUUAGGAGGUCAUUUUAAGUUCCAUUUCACAGUAUUUCCUGUGGUGCAGCAGGUUAACGCCCUGGCCUGAAGCGUUGGCAUCCCAUAUGGGUGCUGGUUUGAGACCCGGCUGUUCCACUUCCGAUCCAGCUCUCUGCUCUGGCACGGGGGAAAGAUAAAAUUGGGCAAGUGUGGGAGACAAAACACUUGGGGCACAGGGAGUGAACAAGACCCUGGAGUCUAGGUGACGGCUUUCGUGUGCUUUGAGAGAGCGGCUCUCGCCAGCGGACAGA